GUAUUUAAAUAUAAAUAUGCUUAGUAGUUCAUUACGAAAAACUCAUCCUGUUUUACAAAUUGUAAAUAGAGCAUUAAUUGAUUUACCAUCACCUGUUAAUUUGUUAUUUGAGGAAAUUUUGAUU
Long non-coding RNA from Octopus sinensis (East Asian common octopus), 124 nucleotides. RefSeq lists it as uncharacterized. The record is from RefSeq and is a predicted model, not a curated record. NCBI's taxonomy places the organism in Eukaryota, Metazoa, Mollusca, Cephalopoda, Octopoda, Octopodidae. The transcript is spliced from 3 exons.